GAUGAAGAACGUAGCGAAAUGCGAUACGUAAUGUGAAUUGCAGAAUUCAGUGAAUCAUCGAAUCUUUGAACGCACAUUGCGCCCGCCAGUAUUCUGGCGGGCAUGCCUGUUCGAGCGUCAUUUCAACCAUCAAGCCCUAGGCUUGCGUUGGAGCCCUGCGGCUGCCGCAGGCCCCUAAAAGCAGUGGCGGGCUCGCUAUCACACCGAGUGCAGUAGAUUACUCUUCGCUCAGGGCGUGUGGCGGGUUCCAGCCGUGAAACCCCCUACUUCUCAAGGUUGACCUCGGAUCAGGUAGGAAUACCCGCUGAACUUAAGCAUAUCAAUAAGCGGAGGA
Molecule: unclassified non-coding RNA, 334 nt
Filed under: soil metagenome
Description: partial contains 5.8S ribosomal RNA, internal transcribed spacer 2, and large subunit ribosomal RNA
Rfam family: 5.8S ribosomal RNA (bases 1-120)
Source: RNAcentral